ACAGAGGUCUCAAGCGUUGUUCGGAUUCAUUGGGCGUAAAGGGUGCGUAGGCGGCGGGGUAAGUCGGAUGUGAAAUCUCAGGGCUCAACCCUGAAACUGCAUUCGAUACUGCCUUGCUCGAGGACUGGAGAGGAGAUUGGAAUUCACGGUGUAGCAGUGAAAUGCGUAGAUAUCGUGAGGAAGACCAGUGGCGAAGGCGGAUCUCUGGACAGUUCCUGACGCUGAGGCACGAAGGCCAGGGGAGCAAACGGGA
This 253-nucleotide ribosomal RNA is filed under the name uncultured prokaryote. RNAcentral's name for it is "partial 16S ribosomal RNA". It matches the Rfam family "Bacterial small subunit ribosomal RNA", at positions 525 to 777 of the family's 1533-position model. The record is from RNAcentral.